Molecule: ribosomal RNA, 464 nt
Filed under: uncultured bacterium
Lineage: Bacteria
Description: partial 16S ribosomal RNA
Rfam family: Bacterial small subunit ribosomal RNA
Source: RNAcentral
GAUGAACGCUGGCGGCGUGCUUAACACAUGCAAGUCGAACGGAAAGGCCCAAGCUUGCUUGGGUACUCGAGUGGCGAACGGGUGAGUAACACGUGGGUGAUCUGCCCCGCACUUCGGGAUAAGCCUGGGAAACUGGGUCUAAUACCGGAUAGGACAGUGGUUCGGAUGCCAUUGUGGAAAGUUUUUUCGGUGUGGGAUGAGCUCGCGGCCUAUCAGCUUGUUGGUGGGGUAAUGGCCUACCAAGGCGUCGACGGGUAGCCGGCCUGAGAGGGUGUACGGCCACAUUGGGACUGAGAUACGGCCCAGACUCCUACGGGAGGCAGCAGUGGGGAAUAUUGCACAAUGGGCGCAAGCCUGAUGCAGCGACGCCGCGUGGGGGAUGACGGCCUUCGGGUUGUAAACUCCUUUCGCUAGGGACGAAGCGUUAUGUGACGGUACCUAGAGAAGAAGCACCGGCUAACUAC